ACAUGCUUACAACAUAGUCUUAAUGCACCGGAUCCCAUUAAAACUUCGUAGUUAAUCGUGCUCAAGUUAGAGUAGUAUUGGGAUGGGUGACCACCUAGGAAGACUUGGUAUUUCACAUGCC
Molecule: non-coding RNA, 121 nt
Organism: Picea glauca (white spruce)
Lineage: Eukaryota; Viridiplantae; Streptophyta; Pinopsida; Pinales; Pinaceae
Source: Rfam